RNAcentral lists this unclassified non-coding RNA (1822 nucleotides) under Pomacea canaliculata. Its description in RNAcentral is "uncharacterized LOC112569681, transcript variant X4". Lineage: Eukaryota; Metazoa; Mollusca; Gastropoda; Architaenioglossa; Ampullariidae. The record is from RNAcentral.
GUUGAUAGAUACGUUGGCAAGGUAUCUCACCAUAGCUUAGUAUCGAAUGACUCAGACAUUCCAAAAAUGAGUUGCGUGAUAAAGAAUAGCGAGACUCCAUUUGAGAUACAGUGCCUGUUUCCUGAGGCUGCUGCUGAUAAAAAAGAUUUUUCAGUCUACUUUUAUUCUUUCAUUGGAAGUCAAGACCUAAUGAUCACCUGCACGUACCUCGAAACCUAUUCCUGUAUCAUCAACGAAGAAGGCUUCAUCGUCAGGGCACAUCCUAGUAUGGCUAACAUCACAGUUCCUGACUCCAUCGCCACAAGGAACGGAACUUUUGCUUGUCAGAGAGGAGACCAGGUUGUGACAUGCCACUCUCUGUGUGGAUGUUCUUUCUUCCAAGAACAAAGAAGCUGCAACCGACCUUCUUAAUAAAAAUGACAAAAUCUGGGCACAACAGAUCCGGAAGGAAGAUCCGGAAAACCCUCCCGAAAAAAACACACCAAAAGCGAGGAACAAGGUCUGACCGCAAAUGAACAUCAAGUGAAUGUUGCCAAGAGGAUGAAACGUAUACAACUAGAAAACCAGUGACAUGGGUUGGGGCUCGGACAAGAAAAUAAAAUGUGUGUACCUCGUCAGACAGAGACCAGAAACGUCUUUAAUGUUACUUGCCACACACACACAAAUUCCUUUAGGUAUAUAAUGCUACUCCUGUUAAAGUUCUUUUCAACAUCUUUUUUUUUUUUACUAUAUCAUCGAUUUUAUGAACUCAAAGUGUGAACUGUGAACACGAAAUUGUAAACUGUGAAAUAAGAUAUACCGCGCCGAAUGCAAAUCUGUCUGUUGUACCCGCUGUCCUCGAUGAUAAGGCUACUAUAGUUAUUCUAGCGACUCUAUUCACCCUUUAAUUUGUGUUUAUACAUCUUGAUAUAUAUAUAGAGAGGAACACAUUUGUUUACAAAAGCUUUUUAGUUUAUGACAAUCUGAAAAGAAAACCCUGACAGCCAGGUUUUACAAGUUUAUCGACAUCAUUUACAUUUUUGCCUGGUGAUGCAAGUAUGGUGGUUUGGGGAAGAACAUUGGUUAAAAAUGAACAAGUUCACUAGCUUUUGUAGAAUAUAUUUGACACCGUGUGGAAUUUUUCUUUAGCCUUUGAUUAUUUGUUCAUUGUAUCUAAAUUGUUUAUUCAUAUUCUCAGACUUUGUGUCCAUCGCUUGAUAUUUCAUAUUAUGUAAAUUGUUUGUACACAUCAAAGGCGCACACAAAGAUGACAUGACUGUAACAAAACAAAUCAUAUAUUUCUGUUUAAAGAUUUGUCGUGUUCCAAACUGAGAAGUUAUUGGCCCACCACAUCCUUAACAGAAAGAUCCGCGUAUGCUGCACUCACAAACACAUCCAAACACUUUCAUUUCUCUCUUCUUUACGCACGCACAGAUCACUAUCAUUAUUUAACAUAAGUUCCACAUACUGCUAUAUCUAUAUCAUGCUAAACUCACCAAAUUUUAUAUCCACAUUAUUAAAUAUGUUUGCUGUUUCACCCAGUUUAUGAAUGGUACAUGUAGAAAAGUAAAUAAAUUAGUAUUUAGCAACAACAUUGUUCCCAAUGCUUUUGUUAUCUUUAUUUCAAAUUAUUACUUUUGAUACAAUUUUAUAAUUUAGUUGUAGCAUCGAAAUGUUUGCUGCAAGAUAAAUGCUUUCAUUAAUCAAUCUGAUUUUAUUACCUGUUGGUUUCGAUUUUCUUACUUCAUGUGUGGUUUAUACUUGAUUAGGAAGCUAUUGGAAUACGAAUGUAGUAGAGCUAGCGAGAUAAUGUGUCCAUAAAAAUAAAUUUAAGAAAUCAAAA